UAGGGAAUCUUCGGCAAUGGACGAAAGUCUGACCGAGCAACGCCGCGUGAGUGAAGAAGGUUUUCGGAUCGUAAAACUCUGUUGGUAGAGAAGAACGUUGGUGAGAGUGGAAAGCUCAUCAAGUGACGGUAACUACCCAGAAAGGGACGGCUAACUACGUGCCAGCAGCCGCGGUAAUACGUAGGUCCCGAGCGUUGUCCGGAUUUAUUGGGCGUAAAGCGAGCGCAGGUGGUUUAUUAAGUCUGGUGUAAAAGGCAGUGGCUCACCAUUGUAUGCAUUGGAAACUGGUAGAC
This 293-nucleotide ribosomal RNA is filed under the name uncultured bacterium. RNAcentral describes it as "partial 16S ribosomal RNA". It matches the Rfam family "Bacterial small subunit ribosomal RNA", at positions 355 to 641 of the family's 1533-position model. The record is from RNAcentral.